AUUGAACGCUGGCGGCAGGCCUAACACAUGCAAGUCGAACGAGUGGCGGACGGGUGAGUAAUGUCUGGGAAACUGCCCGAUUUCGGGGGAUAACUACUGGACACGGUAGCUAAUACCGCAUACCAUCGGAUGUGCCCAGAUGGGAUUAGCUAGUCGGUGGGGUAAUGGCUCACCUAGGCGACGAUCCCUAGCUGGUCUGAGAGGAUGACAAGCCACACUGGAACUGAGACAAGGUCCAGACUCCUACGGGAGGCAGCAGUGGGGAAGAUUGAACAAUGGGCGAAAGCCUGAGGCAGCCAUGCCGCGUGUAUGAAGAAGGCCUUCGGGUUGGAAAGUACUUUCAGCGAGGAGGCGUUACUCGAAGAAGAAGCACCGGCUAACUCCGUGCCAGCAGCCGCGGUAAUAC
This 406-nucleotide ribosomal RNA is filed under the name uncultured bacterium. RNAcentral's name for it is "partial 16S ribosomal RNA". It matches the Rfam family "Bacterial small subunit ribosomal RNA", at positions 30 to 526 of the family's 1533-position model. The record is from RNAcentral.